AAAAGAGGACUACCAAUGGUUUGGGCAGUUGAUAGAAGAGUGUUUCUGCAACAUUAAUGAAAAACAACUCCAAACCCACUAGCAAAAAAUGAAUACGAGGAGACAUAUUACCUCAUGAAAAUGCCCCCUGCCCCCCAGACCACAAAAAUUUAUUGCAUAGAGAAAAGGCAAGCAUAUAUGCUUGAAUCACAUCAUUUGAACGUAUUAAAUGAAU
This 214-nucleotide unclassified non-coding RNA is filed under the name Hevea brasiliensis (rubber tree). The record is from RNAcentral. Lineage: Eukaryota; Viridiplantae; Streptophyta; Magnoliopsida; Malpighiales; Euphorbiaceae.